GGGGCCAUGGCGCAACCGGCCGAGCGCAUCUGACUGUGACUCAGAAGAUAUGGGUUCGAGUCCCAUUGGCCCUC
Molecule: transfer RNA, 74 nt
Filed under: marine sediment metagenome
Description: tRNA-His
Rfam family: tRNA
About the family: Transfer RNA (tRNA) molecules are approximately 80 nucleotides in length. Their secondary structure includes four short double-helical elements and three loops (D, anti-codon, and T loops).
Source: RNAcentral